UUUGCGGCUUAGUUGAGAUAGUAUUUCGGGUUUCGGACUCGGUUGGAACGAGGGAACGAAAAAUAAAAAAAUUAAUAAUCGCGCAUUCUCUCUCUCUCUCUCUCUGUACUUCUAUCUUCUCUGAAAUUUCUCCGUCGAUCUUCUUCUUUCUUCGUUCGAUCUGUAAAUUUUCGUCGAUCUUCUUCUUCGUUCGAUCUGUAAAUCUCCGGCGAUCUUCUUCUUCUUCGAUCGGCUCAGGUAAAAUUCUAACUCAAUUAACUCUUACUUUAGGUUAAAAUGUUUGAAUUUGAUAUGUUUUCUAAUAAUUUUGUUCUAAUUAAUUUAUUUUCAUCGAACUAAAGACCUAGAUUUUCGCUACGGAAUUGAGGGUUAAAUUUGCUAAACAGUGAUGGAUUCAUCUCUCUUCCUUUGAUCUGGAUUGCUUAGUAAGUUCAUCUCUCUUCGAAUUUUGGAUCUCAUGCUCUCUAAUCUGCUCUUUAGAUCGAUUAGCAGUAGUGAUGAAUUCUGAUAAUGUGUUCAAUUUGUAUGUUUUAGGUCUAAAUUUGGUUCUUAAGCUUCCAAAUUAUUUCAAUUAGUUUAUUUAAGUAAUGAAUUCUGAUAAUGUGUUCAAUUUGUAUGUUUUCGCUACGGAAUAGAGUAGUUUGUUUAAGUGAGAUAGAGCCAUGGCUAUUUUUUCCAUUUAAGCUACUGGUUGCUAUAUGUUUAAAGAUGCAUAUUUCAUGUUAUAUAAAUGAUGAUGUAUAUCGUACAUCAUUAUCUGCACACCUAUUAUGACAUCCAUGAAAAGAUUACUUGGUACACAAUUACUACCAAAAAAGCUAAAUAGAUCAUAGACCAGGAACAUCACAGUAUUUACUCUCGAUUCCUACUUAGCCUGAGAAAAAUACUAGAAACUUCCCUACACAUUUUUAUAACUACUAAUGGCUAAAAAAAAUUUAAAAGAAAACAUAUUCUUUUCCCAAUGUGUUUUCUUCUUCAGUUUGUGGUUGAGCCUUGAGGAGGUAAAAGAAACACCAGGAACAAAUACACUCCUUGAUCAUGUCCUCUUCAAAAUAUAACCUAGAAGAAUCCCCAACAAGCCAAUGAUCACAGCAUACAAAAACUGGACACCGCCACGGCUUCUACUAGCUUCACUCCUCAUAAGAUAAGACUUACCUUGCUAGCAUAUACAUUUCAGAUAAUUCAAGAAGCAGAUAAACUAUCCUUUUUCGUCUGACAUACUUCUUCUUGAUUUGUGAUAGAGAAAAUUCUUCCCAUGUAGUAUUGUCGUGGAAUCUCAGCAACAAACUAUCCUUUUCCUCUCUGCAAAAUAUUAUUUUGAAUUAGAAACCUCUCUGGUCAAAUUCUAUCAACCAUAGGUUAUGUUCCGUACUACUCCAGUCAUAUUAUGUUUUCUUUUUCUCAGUUUCAAAGUUCAGGAGUUCAAAUUUUCCUGCUGGUUUCCCAUUAUCUGUAUUCAUUUCAAAGUACUAUAAUAUGAAAAGGUUACUUUCAAAAUAAGAAUUUCACAAUUCGACAAGGUGAUCGACCAACUGAAUUGUUAUAUCAAAGAAAACAAAACUUAAAGAUUUGACUUUGAAUUUAAUAAUGUAAAAAAUCCAAAAAGAGUGGCAGAGUUAUUUUUUUUUAUCUUACUUUGUCUUCUCCAUCAUAAUAUGUGUUCAACAUGCUUAGCUUACAGUACAACAUAAUUGACAUGCAGCUGUGAUCAUAUUGGCUAAUUAUCCUUAAAUAUAAAGAUUCUUUUUAUAUUUUUUCCUUGUUUUUCUCCUAUUAUUUCUCUUUCCAAAAAUCUCUUCUUAAUUCAUAUUCUUCAUUGAAUAAACCGGUUAAAACCUUAACAAGUUUUAAGUUCUAUACGUGGCAGAAUACUAUGAGGAAGUAAGCUUUGAGCGUCACUUCCGCAGUGACGCUAGCAUUUCUCCUAAAAAUACUGCUUAAGUUACAUUUCUGGCACUGAAAUGCUUGGAUAUUGACCACCAUGUUCAGGCAAAUAAUUAAAUGAUAUUUGACCCGUUUCUUUGAUGCCUUGGUACCUGCCUAGCAUUAGUAAGGUUGCAAAAUUUUCUUAGCUCCUCUUCUGUAGACAGCUUUGCAUUCUCAUUUUGUUGGUUGCCCACAUACAAUUUGAUUAAAUUGGAUUGUGAUAUUUUCUCAAGCAAGUGACCCAUCCUCACACAUUGAUCGAAGUCUUUUUGUUCCAAUAAAUAGUUGAAUCUUACUGAAGGAUUUUUUCUGGGAUCUGUAUUCUUUAGUUAGAUUUCAAUUUAUUUUUCUUUCUAUUGUAACAGGAUUGAGACGGGGAACGGUGUUGUGCUUUCUACUUUCCAUUUCACAACGCAACUACUUCCAUUUGAAGUAAUUUCAUUCAUCAUUCAUUUGCAUAUUGUGAUUAUAACUGGCAUUAAUCUGUUGUAUGUUGUGAAAGUGGUGCUUAAUGAACUUCUUUUAAAAAACUCAUUUUUAUUGUAUUAAACCAGCUAAACAACCAAAGCUUUCUAGCAGUUGUAGGAACCUGUAGCUUUAUUUAGACCUACCAAACUUAUAAAUUGUGUCUGAUAUUAAAUCUUUUUUCUGGAGUUGGAUAUUUCUUUUGGCCAACUGUGAGCUUUGACGACUUCAUGUGAUAGGAGAACUUAAUCUUUUUCUGUAAAUUGAUAUGGAUGCAGUUUGUGAAUGGCUCGUAUGACCAUCUUUCAAACUCUUUGAUGGGUGAUUUCAAUUUGAUUGUGCAGGUUACCUUGUGAGAAUGGUGAUCUUCUAGGUGAUGAUGAGGUUAGCUUGGGAUUAGAUGUUUGUUGUCAUCAUUCCAGGGUUAUUGUUGAACAUUUUAAUUUUUAGAAUAGUGAAGCAUUUGAACGAUGUAAAACUUUAUGAUAAACAUUUUUAUUUUUGAAAGUGAUGUAAUUUGUACAUGAAUUUGGAUGUUAAUAAAAUUUCAAUUUUCUAUGUUCUUAAAAUU
This 2962-nucleotide long non-coding RNA is filed under the name Aquilegia coerulea. Its description in RNAcentral is "long non-coding RNA (ACOE_LNC001083)". Lineage: Eukaryota; Viridiplantae; Streptophyta; Magnoliopsida; Ranunculales; Ranunculaceae. The record is from RNAcentral.